GGCAGAGGGAAGGGUCUCGGAUGGGCAAGGAGAGGUACCAAUGUGCCUUGCCAGCCCAGGACUGCCCCCUCCUGGCCCAGUCAGAGCCCCGGGGCCUGAGAAGCUCAGUCUCCCACGGGGGACAUUGGCCUCACCUUUUCUCUGCCUCCAGCACCCACGGCGGCUGCAGAUGGCAGAGUCUCCGGAGACAGCAGCUGCGACAGAGUCUGCAGGCCGACGUUGAGCUGCUCAGGCUGAGGUGGUGCGCUCAGCACAGAGCUCCCGGAACAGGCAUCUGCUGGGCGUGAGCUGAGGCCGCCGCGAUGCCGCACUUCCUGGACUGGUUCGUGCCCGUGUACCUGGUCAUCUCCGUGCUCAUCCUGGUGGGUUUCGGCGCCUGCAUCUACUACUUCGAGCCUGGCCUGCAGGAGGCGCACAAGUGGCGCAUGCAGCGCCCCCUGGUGGACCGUGACCUCCGCAAGACCCUGAUGGUUCGCGACAACUUGGCAUUUGGAGGGCCAGAGGUCUGAGGGCACCCGGCGGGCACCGGGCGCCUCCCCCCUCGCCCAGCCUGGAGACCCUGGGGCAGAGAAAGGACAACCCGUGGUCCUUCGGGCCAUCCCUCUGCAGCCUGGACCCUCCCCGCAGAGGCUUCCAGGUGCUCGGGGUGGACCCUGGCUGCACCCGUUGAGAUGGGGCACCUGGGUAACUUAAGGUGUCACUGCUGCUGGCCCAGGGCUUGCUUUCCACAUCAAGCCAGCUCACCCCACACCUGCCCUCCCCAGCUCUGGGUUUAUCCCCCACUGACCCCCAGUGCCUUUGUGCUGCCCAGCACUCUUGCCCCUCACCUGGAGCCUGGCACCGCUGCCCCUGCCUGUCCUGAGCCUCGAGAUUCCCACUUCCCCACUGAAUCCCUGGUGACGCUCAACGGCCCACUCCACCCAAGGCACCCACCCUGCAGCUUCACAUGGCUGCCUUCAAAGCGGACCCAAGGAAAGUGUCCUCUUGGUCCAGCCCAGCCCCACCCCUCUGGACUCAGGCUUGGCAUUGGUGAGACCGUGAUGGGGUGGCAGAGGGGUAAUAUCACAGAGGAAGGAGGGGUGUGUGUGUGUGUGUGUGUGUGUGUGUGUGUGUGUGUGUGAAAGAGAGACAGAGUAUGUCUCGGAGGAGUGGAGAGGCAUGUGCGGAGGGGGAGAUGCCGGUCUGUAUGUGUGAGAGGCAGAGUGGGAGGUGGUGGGGAUAGGGUGAGCUUGUCAGUAGCCCCAGGGGUGCCAGCAGCAGUUCCUCCCUCCCUCCCUCUGCCAGACUUCUCUAUCUCUCCUCUUCCCCCAGGCCCCUGCUCUCCCCUCCCUCCCUCCCUGUACUGCACCUGCAGGUACUGCACCCCUCCAGCACCCUCCCUGUCCACCCUAGCCCCACCAGGGAGCCCUCCUCCUGUGUGUUUGGCAGCCUGUCUCACUCUCCUCCUCUGGAACUUCCCUCUUAGUUUCUUGCAAUAAUAAAGACUUUGUGACGAUUUUUGCAGGACUCUCUCGUUUCCUGAAGGGAGGAUCAUGUCUGUCAUCUCACUGGAUCUUCAUAAAAAACUAUGAUAGUGCAAUAUUCCCCUUUUUAGGGAUGAGGACACCUGUCUCAGAGAGGGUGAAGAAACUGGAGCUCGGAGACCUGGUGGCCUGUUCAAAAGCACACAGCUGUGACGAACCCAAGAUGGAGGUUCUAGAGCCUGCGUCACUUGUCUGAGAGGCCACCACAGUGAUUUUUUUUGCUUGGGUCAAAGUCUGUCUUCUGAGGCUACUUCCAGGCCUGAGGACCAUUCCUCCGCCGAGAACAGCAGGGCAGGUGUGAGGUCAUUGCCACUUUGGACCACUAGGGGGUAGCUGAACCCAGGCUGUAGUUACUGGGCAGGCAGAGUCCUCCAGGUGCCCCCCCCCCCCAACCAACCCUGGAGGACAGAGCAGGGCAGAUGGGCCUGGGGGAUACAGACAUGAACCAGACUCAUGCCUGACUCUCAAGUCCCUAACAGCCUGGCAGGGAGCCACAUGGAGGAAUUCUAGAUCUUUAAGCUAGAAGAGACCACAUGAAAGCACCUGGGACCUGUUUGCAAAGGCAACUGAGGCUCAGAAGGGCAAGUGAUCUGAUAGAAGCUGUAUAAUGACUCAUUUGUCAAAGUGGGGGAGAGAAUCCAGGACUCCUGACUCCUGCUCAGGGCUUCCUCAUCUCAGAGAUGAUGCAAUCCAGUGGGGCUGACCAGUAAAUGCUCCCCCUACCCAAUCUGUCUGGGCAGACCAGACCUGUGCUGUCCCCUCCCCCAGGCACCUGUAUUCUGGCUCAAACUGGGCUGGUUCUUGGAGCAAGAAGGGAAGGGGGAGGAACUCCAGACAGCUCCCCUCCCCCACCCACGGGGCUUUCAGCAGGUGUUGCCCCGUAACCAGAGCGCAGCCAAGUUUGAAAACUUAAAGGUCAAAAAGGGAGAGAAUGGAUGCAGAGGGGAAGGUCGGAGGUCCACAAGGUUACCAUUCACUCCAUCAUUUCAUUCAUUCAUUCAUUCGUUCAUUCAUUCAUUCUACAGAAACUUAUGAGGCUGAUGCUUGCCAGGGCCCAGGACCCAGAGAAAAUAAUCCCCCCACCCCCCUCACCCCCUGUGGCUAGUGGCUGUCACAUUGGAUGGCACAGAUGUAGAACAGCUCCAUUAUCGUAGAAUGUUCCAUUGGCCAGUACGGCUCCAGAAGCUCACUCACAAAGGAGAGCAAUCCCCAGGAGAGUCGACCAGACCGCCAGCGUUGUGUGGGCAGCAGUGUGCCCAUCAGCCAAAAGCAGGAGACAAGGUGAAGAUUGCGGGAGAUGCCGAGAGCAGGCUUCGCCUAGUUCCUGCCUCAGGGGGAGUGCUCGAAGGCUGUCCUGCACUGUCACUGCUCUAUUACUGUAAGGACCUGCCCAUCUUCCUGAGCAGAUUGAGAGCUCCUUCCCAGCCCCGGCACAGUGUCUGGCAUGUAGUAAGUGUCCAGUAAAUGGUAGCUGUGAUUCGCACGAUCAUUGUUACUACGAUUGCGGUGACAGGGGCAGAAGAGGACACCCAGUCCACAGGGUGGGUCUCCUGGGCCCAGGGCUGGGUCAUCUUCAUGUCCUCAGGGUCUUGGGACAGGGUCCAGCUGGAGUGAGGAGGGGCUCAGGGAAUCAUUGCUGAAGCAGACAACCCCUGCUUUAGCUUCCAGGAACUUCAGUUUGCCCCAGAAAAGACCUCAGGUGGGUGGGCAAGAUGGCUGGAGGGUCACGGAGCUAAACGGAGCGUGAGGGCAAUGCAGAGGGAAAUGGGGAUGCUGCCAGGACCACCAGAGUAUGGCUGUAUUUGGAGUAUCCUUAAUCUUCCUGGAGACAUCUCUCAGGAGUCAGAGUCUCUGGGAGACAGAGUAGAUUUGGGGAGGGCAGGCAGCAGGGCAACACCACCCCCAAAAGCGGCCUUGAGUCCGGGGCAGCCCAGCCUGGCCAUUAAGAGCCUCCCCUGGCCCUUCGGGAUUCCAGAGGCUCAGAGCAGCCAUUCACAACGCCCACUGCUGAGAAGCCAGCCCCUCCCUGCCCCAGAGCCUGGCGCAGCUGGGGAUGUAGCUGGUGGGACAGUUCAGGAGAGCGCUGGGCCCUGCGCCUGGGGACGAUGGCCUGGAGGCUGAGUGGAGGCUCACAAGGGGACCAGAAAGAAGAAGGCCCUGAGCUGGUCACAGUGGCCAUCUCGGUGCAGAGGAGGGCUUCCCAGGCUGAGGCGCACUGGACU
Molecule: long non-coding RNA, 3745 nt
Organism: Ailuropoda melanoleuca (giant panda)
Lineage: Eukaryota; Metazoa; Chordata; Mammalia; Carnivora; Ursidae
Exons: 3
Source: RefSeq, a predicted model, not a curated record